RNAcentral lists this ribosomal RNA (892 nucleotides) under Streptomyces sp. H3R11_pA. RNAcentral's name for it is "bacterial SSU rRNA". It matches the Rfam family "Bacterial small subunit ribosomal RNA", at positions 8 to 916 of the family's 1533-position model. The record is from RNAcentral. Lineage: Bacteria; Bacillati; Actinomycetota; Actinomycetes; Kitasatosporales; Streptomycetaceae.
AGAGUUUGAUCCUGGCUCAGGAUGAACGCUGGCGGCGUGCUUAACACAUGCAAGUCGAACGAUGAAGCCCUUCGGGGUGGAUUAGUGGCGAACGGGUGAGUAACACGUGGGCAAUCUGCCCUGCACUCUGGGACAAGCCCUGGAAACGGGGUCUAAUACCGGAUAACACUUUUCCCUGCAUGGGGAAAGGUUAAAAGCUCCGGCGGUGCAGGAUGAGCCCGCGGCCUAUCAGCUUGUUGGUGGGGUGAUGGCCUACCAAGGCGACGACGGGUAGCCGGCCUGAGAGGGCGACCGGCCACACUGGGACUGAGACACGGCCCAGACUCCUACGGGAGGCAGCAGUGGGGAAUAUUGCACAAUGGGCGAAAGCCUGAUGCAGCGACGCCGCGUGAGGGAUGACGGCCUUCGGGUUGUAAACCUCUUUCAGCAGGGAAGAAGCGAAAGUGACGGUACCUGCAGAAGAAGCGCCGGCUAACUACGUGCCAGCAGCCGCGGUAAUACGUAGGGCGCAAGCGUUGUCCGGAAUUAUUGGGCGUAAAGAGCUCGUAGGCGGCUUGUCACGUCGGAUGUGAAAGCCCGGGGCUUAACCCCGGGUCUGCAUUCGAUACGGGCAGGCUAGAGUGUGGUAGGGGAGAUCGGAAUUCCUGGUGUAGCGGUGAAAUGCGCAGAUAUCAGGAGGAACACCGGUGGCGAAGGCGGAUCUCUGGGCCAUUACUGACGCUGAGGAGCGAAAGCGUGGGGAGCGAACAGGAUUAGAUACCCUGGUAGUCCACGCCGUAAACGUUGGGAACUAGGUGUUGGCGACAUUCCACGUCGUCGGUGCCGCAGCUAACGCAUUAAGUUCCCCGCCUGGGGAGUACGGCCGCAAGGUAAAACUCAAAGGAAUUGACGG